Molecule: ribosomal RNA, 253 nt
Filed under: uncultured bacterium
Lineage: Bacteria
Description: partial 16S ribosomal RNA
Rfam family: Bacterial small subunit ribosomal RNA
Source: RNAcentral
UACGUAGGGUGCGAGCGUUGUCCGGAAUUAUUGGGCGUAAAGAGCUUGUAGGCGGUUUGUCGCGUCUGCCGUGAAAUUUCGAGGCUCAACCUCGAACUUGCGGUGGGUACGGGCAGACUAGAGUGUGGUAGGGGAGACUGGAAUUCCUGGUGUAGCGGUGAAAUGCGCAGAUAUCAGGAGGAACACCGGUGGCGAAGGCGGGUCUCUGGGCAGUAACUGACGCUGAGGAGCGAAAGCGUGGGGAGCGAACAGG